This 76-nucleotide non-coding RNA is filed under the name human gut metagenome. RNAcentral's name for it is "ZMP/ZTP riboswitch". It matches the Rfam family "ZMP/ZTP riboswitch aptamer (pfl RNA motif)". Rfam says of the family: Previously known as pfl RNA. ZMP is also known as AICAR. The record is from RNAcentral.
UUUUGUGACUGACGGAAAAGUGGAGCACCACGGGGAAACAGAAGUAGAAUGAAUUCGCCGACCGUCUGGGCAGUCU